Molecule: non-coding RNA, 1467 nt
Organism: Peromyscus maniculatus bairdii (prairie deer mouse)
Lineage: Eukaryota; Metazoa; Chordata; Mammalia; Rodentia; Cricetidae
Source: RefSeq, a predicted model, not a curated record
AGGAGUCUGACACGCAUGGCCCCUGACCUCAGGACGUCCUUGGAAUCAGCACGGCUGGGGAUUCCUCCAGCUCAGAGGGAGACCUGUGCAGUCCAGGCUCCCAUUCACUGGUGGCAUCAUCUUUCCUGCAUUCUUUCACCUUGCUGUCCAGUGUUCCUAUCGAAAUAAAACAGAGGUGUCACCCAGCUCGUGGGAGCCUCGGGAAUAGGCAGAGAGGGGCACCGGCAGAGUUCCUGCUCGGGUCCCCCGCACAUACGGCAGGCACUCAAUGAGCAUCCGCUGUCACACAACUGCCAAAGAACGCUCUGUGUAAGCGGCGCGUGCCAGGUAGUGUUCAAUAAGGAGAAGCCGAUAUUGGCAGCCCAGCCUGGCAGGCACCACCAAUUUCAGCUGUCAGCGGGUAAUAAGAAUCCAGCAGUGGACCAGUAUUGAGAGACAGGUGCCAUUCCCAACAGAAGCGGACAGCCAAAGGCACCACAGCUGUCCGCUGUUCCCCGAACACGGAACGUGGGCUCCAGAGGUCAACAGCCAGCAGCUUCUGUCCCUUGUCACUUUCCCCUCGGUGCUGGUGUUGCUCAAUGGAGGAGUCAUGGCACUCCCUAUCACCCACUGUCCUCUGUAGCCAUGGAACCUGGGGAUUCACUUGGGCCCACACUAUCUCAGUGCCUCGAUUCUCUAGCCAAUGAACCAUCAUGGAGGUGAGCAGCUUUGUCGACCAAACCCUCCCACCAUGAUGCACUGCCUUGCCGCAAUCCCCGAUCAAUAGAGCCACCCAAUCAUGGACAGAACCUCCAUGCUGUGAGUCUAACAAAUCCUUUCUCAAAGUUCAUUAUCUCAGUUAUCUCUUCUAGCGAUGCCAAGUUGACUGCACGAUCUCAACCUCACAAAUUUCUACACAAGAGAAGGCUCCCAGACCACAAACCAUUUCUACAGUGUGGGUAUGAAGUAUCAGUGUGGCUCCCCACACUUCUGAGUAUCAGUUAGUUGAGAGUCUGUGUGAACCGAGUUGGUUAUCAGAGCCAUGGCAGGUUGGUAGAGGGCACUGGAUAGGAAGGGGGAUAGGGUGAGGAUGGGCUGAACGGUACUCUCUGCAACUCUGAAUUUGUUGAUUUGGCUAGGAAGAAAGAGGAGAAAAAAAGCCAGAGGUGAGACCCCCCCAGCCUUCUACUUUAUUACCUCCUUAUGUAACCUGCCUCUAAGCUCUUCAAUGCUGAAUCCUCAUCAUCCUACCAUGAGGCUGUUGUAAUCAAAGGAGGUGCUCUGUGAAAAGAGGAAGAUACCCCACUCUCUUGUGAACUCUGUCCUGUGCCAGGAUUCAUAGAGUUGUUCUGUGCAUUCAUUUAAAAGGAAAAGAUCUUAGGAUCUACCACGUGUAGAAAGCACACUUGUAUCACAUUGGCUUUUGAAGUUUACUCUGUCAAAGUUUUAGACAUGUAAACAUUAAAAUAAAUAUUAUCAUUGUUGUUG